Molecule: ribosomal RNA, 188 nt
Filed under: uncultured bacterium
Lineage: Bacteria
Description: partial 16S ribosomal RNA
Rfam family: Bacterial small subunit ribosomal RNA
Source: RNAcentral
CAACCGUAAAAUUAGCCUUUGAUACUGUUAUUCUUGAGUACAUUUGAGGUAGGCGGAAUGUGUUGUGUAGCGGUGAAAUAGCUUAGAUAUAACACAGAACACCGAUUGCGAAGGCAGCUUACUAAACUAGUAACUGACGCUGAUGCACGAAAGCGUGGGGAUCGAACAGGAUUAGAUACCCCUGGUAG